Molecule: ribosomal RNA, 305 nt
Filed under: uncultured bacterium
Lineage: Bacteria
Description: bacterial SSU rRNA
Rfam family: Bacterial small subunit ribosomal RNA
Source: RNAcentral
CGGCCUACGGGGCGCAGCAGUAGGGAAUCUUCCACAAUGGAGGGAACUCUGAUGCAGCGACGCCGCGCGAGGGAAGAAGGUUUUCGGAUUGUAAACCUCUGUCUUCGGUGACGAAACGAGACGGUAGCCGAGGAGGAAGCCACGGCUAACUACGUGCCAGCAGCCGCGGUAAUACGUAGGUGGCAAGCGUUGUCCGGAAUUACUGGGUGUAAAGGGAGCGUAGGCGGGAAAGCAAGUUGAAUGUUUAAGGUACGGGCUCAACCUGUACAAGCGUUCAAAACUGUUUUUCUUGAGUGGAGUAGAGG